ACUUGCAUAUUUCAAAAGCGGAGGAAAAGAAACCAACAGGGAUUCCCCUAGUAACGGCGAGUGAAGCGGGAACAGCUCAAAUUUGAAAUCUGGCCCUUGGGUCCGAGUUGUAAUUUGCAGAGGAUGCUUUUGGUGCGGUGCCUUCCGAGUUCCCUGGAACGGGACGCCUUAGAGGGUGAGAGCCCCGUACGGUUGGACACCAAGCCUAUGUAAAGCUCCUUCGACGAGUCGAGUAGUUUGGGAAUGCUGCUCAAAAUGGGAGGUAUAUUUCUUCUAAAGCUAAAUAUUGGCCAGAGACCGAUAGCGCACAAGUAGAGUGAUCGAAAGAUGAAAAGCACUUUGAAAAGAGGGUUAAAUAGCACGUGAAAUUGUUGAAAGGGAAGGAUUUAUGACCAGACUUUUUCUAGGGGGAUCAUCCGGUGUUCUCACCGGUGCACUUCCCCUAGUUGAGGCCAGCAUCGGUUUCUGUCGAGGGAUAAAAGCUUUAGGAAUGUGGCUCUCUCCGGGGAGUGUUAUAGCCUGUUGCAUAAUACCUUGACGGGGACCGAGGUUCGCGCAUUGCAAGGAUGCUGGCGUAAUGGUUAUUAAUCACCCGUCUUGAACACCGGGGACCCAAACGC
Molecule: ribosomal RNA, 620 nt
Filed under: Apiospora saccharicola
Lineage: Eukaryota; Fungi; Ascomycota; Sordariomycetes; Amphisphaeriales; Apiosporaceae
Description: partial large subunit ribosomal RNA
Rfam family: Eukaryotic large subunit ribosomal RNA
Source: RNAcentral